RNAcentral lists this ribosomal RNA (283 nucleotides) under uncultured bacterium. Its description in RNAcentral is "partial 16S ribosomal RNA". It matches the Rfam family "Bacterial small subunit ribosomal RNA", at positions 773 to 1060 of the family's 1533-position model. The record is from RNAcentral.
GUGGAUUAGAUACCCUGGUAGUCCACGCUGUAAACUUUGAUCACUCGCUGUUGGCGAUACACUGUCAGCGGCUAAGCGAAAGCGUUAAGUGAUCCACCUGGGGAGUACGAUCGCAAGAUUGAAACUCAAAGGAAUUGACGGGGGCCCGCACAAGCGGUGGAGCAUGUGGUUUAAUUCGAUGAUACGCGAGGAACCUUACCAGGGCUUGAAAGUUAGCGACUAUAGGUGAAAGCUUAUAUCCCUUCGGGGCGCGAAACUAGGUGCUGCAUGGCCGUCGCCAACU